Molecule: ribosomal RNA, 515 nt
Filed under: uncultured bacterium
Lineage: Bacteria
Description: bacterial SSU rRNA
Rfam family: Bacterial small subunit ribosomal RNA
Source: RNAcentral
GACGAACGCUGGCGGCGUGCCUAACACAUGCAAGUCGAACGGGGAUACUUUUGAAGCUUGCGAUAAAGUAUCUUAGUGGCGGACGGGUGAGUAACGCGUGGGUAAUCUGCCCAUAAGUGGGGAACAACAGUUGGAAACGACUGCUAAUACCGCAUAAUCUGCCUUAGGGUAGGAAAGGUGGCCUCUUAACAAUGCUGCCGCUUAUGGAUGAGCCCGCGUCUGAUUAGCCUAGUUGGUGGGGUAAAGGCCUACCAAGGCGACGAUCAGUAGCCGGCCUGAGAGGGUGAACGGCCACACUGGGACUGAGACACGGCCCAGACUCCUACGGGAGGCAGCAGUGGGGAAUAUUGCGCAAUGGGGGAAACCCUGACGCAGCGACGCCGCGUGAGCGAAGAAGGCCUUAGGGUUGUAAAGCUCUGUUUUAGGGGACGAAUGUUCAUAGGAGUAAUAUGCCUGUGAAAUGACGGUACCCUAAGAGGAAGCCCCGGCUAACUACGUGCCAGCAGCCGCGGUAA